GUCGCCUUUACAAGGAGAAGCAUUUGGUAGCAGAGAUUCCCAUGUGACGUCAGGAUCAGGAAAGAAUAUCCUCUAAAGACUCUGGAAGAAAACGAUCAUCGGAAACACGCUCCUGGCUACUCUCAGGCUUCUUCAGUGGACCUUCAUCAUGACUCCGGCCAUCGACCAAUCCAACACACACAGGUAAUGUCACGGAUGGUGUUACAGAAAACUAGAAGACACAAAUGAAGAUCCGACUGACUUGAUCCAAAACUAAGUAACGAAAGGGUUCCAAUAUAUUCAUUGAACAUCAUAUGGACAUUUGCGUUUUGCAUAUAGUGUGAAAUCCUAAGAUUUCAGAUGGGGAGUGUGCUGUCCCAGCAUUUAUUUCUCCCAUUUAAGACUAAUUGCUGUAUUUGUGUUAUCAUAUCAUUACCAUGUUAUGUAAUGCUGCCAACCUGUGGUGAUUCUUGUUAUAGGUUUCUGAAUGCAUUAUGUAAAUCUUAUUGCCUUUGCUCUCUGUCUCCCCCUCCCUUUCGGUGACAUCAUAUCCUGUUGUGCUCUUCCUGUGUCUUUCUUUUUUUUUUUUUUUUUCUGCAGCAGACUCAGAGCUGGUGAGAGCAUUUUGUUUUGACCUCUAAUGUCCUUUAUAUGUCUUUGCUCAAGGUAAACUUAAUAAAUUACCAAAGCAUUUCCAUUGUAUCCUCCUCACUGGAUCUUAUCAUACAACUGGUACCACGCCCUAGGGAUAUUAGUGAGUUCAGCUGUCUAUCAUUGCUUGUACAGAGAUUUCUCUAAUGUACAUUUGUGGCAGAAUACCCCACUUUAGGGAUAAAAAAUUCCUUCUCGACUCUAAUCAGGUAGUCAGAAUAAUUCCAUGGAUCAACAACCCAUCUCUAGUAGCUAUAACCUGUAAUAUUAUUACACUCCAGAAAUACAUCCAGACCCCUCUUGCACUCUUUUAGUGAACUUUAGA
Molecule: long non-coding RNA, 955 nt
Organism: Bufo gargarizans (Asiatic toad)
Lineage: Eukaryota; Metazoa; Chordata; Amphibia; Anura; Bufonidae
Exons: 5
Source: RefSeq, a predicted model, not a curated record